RNAcentral lists this ribosomal RNA (858 nucleotides) under uncultured bacterium. RNAcentral's name for it is "SSU rRNA". It matches the Rfam family "Bacterial small subunit ribosomal RNA", at positions 524 to 1381 of the family's 1533-position model. The record is from RNAcentral.
UACAGAGGGUGCGAGCAUUAAUCGGAUUUACUGGGCGUAAAGGGCGCGUAGGCGGGAAUGAAAGUCAGAUGUGAAAUCCCAAAGCUCAACUUUGGAACUGCAUCCGAAACUUCAUUUCUUGAGGGCAGGCGGAGAAGGCGGAAUUCCACGUGUAGCGGUGAAAUGCGUAGAUACGUGGAGGAACACCGGUGGCGAAGGCGGCCUUCUAGCUUGUUCCUGACGCUAAUGCGCGAAAGCAAGGGGAGCAAACAGGAUUAGAUACCCUGGUAGUCCUUGCCGUAAACGAUGCAUACUUGGUGUAGCCGGUUUCAACCCCGGCUUUGCCGAAGCUAACGCGUUAAGUAUGCCGCCUGGGGAGUACGCCCGCAAGGGUGAAACUCAAAAGAAUUGACGGGGACCCGCACAAGCAGUGGAGCAUGUGGUUUAAUUCGAUGCAACGCGAAGAACCUUACCCAGGCUUGACAUGUAGCGGACCGCUCUGGAAACAGAGCUUCUCGUAUGAGCUGCUACACAGGUGCUGCAUGGCUGUCGUCAGCUCGUGCCGUGAGGUGUUGGGUUAAGUCCCGCAACGAGCGCAACCCUUAUCGUUAGUUGCCAGCACGUAAUGGUGGGAACUCUAACGAGACUGCCUAGGUUAACUAGGAGGAAGGUGAGGAUGACGUCAAGUCAGCAUGGCCCUUAUGUCUGGGGCGACACACGUGCUACAAUGGUCGGUACAGAAGGCAGCAAAACCGUAAGGUGAAGCAAAUCCCUAAAACCGAUCCCAGUUCGGAUUGCAGUCUGCAACUCGACUGCAUGAAGUUGGAAUUGCUAGUAAUGGCGUGUCAGCCAUAACGCCGUGAAUACGUUCCCGGGUCU